This 1482-nucleotide long non-coding RNA is filed under the name Macaca fascicularis (crab-eating macaque). Its description in RNAcentral is "lncRNA (ENSMFAG00000058359.1)". The record is from RNAcentral. Lineage: Eukaryota; Metazoa; Chordata; Mammalia; Primates; Cercopithecidae.
UUUUUUUUUUUUUUUUUUUUUUUUGAGAUGGAGUCUCGCUCUGUCGCCCAGGCUGGAGUGCAGUGGCCGGAUCUCAGCUCACUGCAAGCUCCGCCUCCCGGGUCCACGCCAUUCUCCUGCCUCAGCCUCCGGAAUAGCUGGGACUACAGGCGCCCGCCACCUCACCCGGCUAGUUUCUUUUGUAUUUUUCAGUAGAGACGGGGUUUCACCAUGUUAGCCAGGAUGGUCUCGAUCUCCUGACCUCGUGAUCCACCCGUCUUGGCCUCCCAAAGUGCUGGGAUUACAGGCUUGAGCCACCGCGCCCGGCCCCGGGCUUCUAUGCUUUUUUAAAAAAUGUGACAGAAAGUCUGCAUGAGGUUUUAACUUUUUUUUUUUUUCCUGGUGAGGACAAAGUCAAUUUUCAACUGUGAGAAAAGUGCUCUGAGGCAAACUCGCUUUCACCACAGCUUAGCCCUGUGGCAUCUCCUGCUGUGGCCAUGCACCCAAUAAAUUUCCCUAGAUGUGCAAUUCCUGUAGCCUGGUCCUGGUCAGGCUGGCAUGGCAGGAGGGCUUCCUUCUAUUACUAAAGUGGAGUCUCCAAAUUACCUCUUUGGAACGUGUGAACCCUAGGGCAUGGUUCCCAACCCCUGAGCCACAGACUGGUACAGGGCCACAGGCAGGGGCUGAAGGGUGGGUGAGCAAGGGAAGCUCAUCUAUAUUUACAGCUGAUCCCCAUCGCUGGCAUUACCGCUCAAGCUCCCUCUCCUGUCAGACCAGCGGCGGCAUUAGAUUCUCAUAGAAGCACGAACCCUAUUGUGAACUGUGCAUGGGAGGGAUCUAGGUUGCGUGCUCCUGAUGAGAAUCUAAUGUCUGAUGAUCUGUCACUGCCUCUGAUCACCCCCAGAUGGGACCGUCUAUUUGCAGGAAAACAGGCUCAGGACUCCCACUGAUUCUACAUUACGGUGAGUUGUAUGAUUAUUUCAUUAUGUAUUACAAUGUAAUAAUAACAGAAAUAAAAUGCACAAUAAAUGUAAUGUGGUUGAAUUAUUCCAAAACCAUCCCCCUGCCUGGUCCAUGGAAAAACUGGCUUCCACGAAACCAGUACCUGGUGCCAAAAAGGCUGGGAACCGCUACCCUAGGGGAAGAAUUUAAAUACAAAUGUAGCAAACUCCAGUUCCUUAUUUUGUUCUGUAAAAGCAUUAUUGAUUUUGACAACCCAAAGCAUCAUCGGGAAAACAGGGAACACACUGCAUGGACAUCUGCCAUGAGGGGGAUGUUAGUGAUCGUUGGCUACAGAGCUCUGUGAAGGAGCAGGAAGAGAGCCAGGAGUCUAGUGGGCACCCCCGGGGGCAUAGCCCCUGUGUCCUGGUGUGCACGCUGGACGCUAGUGACCUGGAGGCCAGCAGUGGGAGGGGACAGGCAGCAUUAGGGAUUAGAAAGCAAAGACUUCAUGAGUUUAUUUUGGAUUGCUCUCUUUCUUUUAUGUUCCUUGUAUUCGUCUGC